Ornithorhynchus anatinus (platypus) is the source of this 138-nucleotide non-coding RNA. NCBI's taxonomy places the organism in Eukaryota, Metazoa, Chordata, Mammalia, Monotremata, Ornithorhynchidae. The record is from Rfam.
UUCCUCUCAGAAACACACCUGGAGAGUGGCCAGUACUCUACCACUCUCGACUGCGGGAGGGAGAGACAAGCAGAGACAUAUCCAUUCCAUUCCUAGCUUGGCCAGUGGCUAGCGAGUGGAAGGCCAUCUGCUACAAAU